Molecule: ribosomal RNA, 793 nt
Filed under: uncultured bacterium
Lineage: Bacteria
Description: bacterial SSU rRNA
Rfam family: Bacterial small subunit ribosomal RNA
Source: RNAcentral
AGAGUUUGAUCCUGGCUCAGGAUGAACGCUAGNNNNNGUAAUACAUGCAAGUCGAGGGGCAGCAGGGGUGUAGCAAUACACUCGCUGGCGACCGGCAAACGGGUGCGGAACACGUACGCAAUCUACCCAUAACUGAGGAAUAGCCCUCCGAAAGNNGAUUAAUACUUCGUAACCUUAUAGAGUGGCAUCACUUUAUGAGUAUAGCUCCGGCGGUUAUGGAUGAGCGUGCGGCUGAUUAGGUAGUUGGCGGGGUAACGGCCCACCAAGCCUGCGAUCAGUAACUGGUGUGAGAGCACGACCAGUCACACGGGCACUGAGACACGGGCCCGACUCCUACGGGAGGCAGCAGUAAGGAAUAUUGGUCAAUGGACGCAAGUCUGAACCAGCCAUGCCGCGUGAAGGAUGAAGGUCCUCUGGAUUGUAAACUUCUUUUAUAGGGGACGAAACCCCGGUAUUCUUACCGGAUUGACGGUACCCUAGGAAUAAGCACCGGCUAACUCCGUGCCAGCAGCCGCGGUAAUACGGAGGGUGCAAGCGUUAUCCGGAUUCACUGGGUUUAAAGGGUGCGUAGGAGGGCAGGUAAGUCAGUGGUGAAAUCUCCGAGCUUAACUCGGAAACUGCCGUUGAUACUAUCUGUCUUGAAUACCGUGGAGAUGAGCGGAAUAUGUCAUGUAGCGGUGAAAUGCUUAGAUAUGACAUAGAACACCAAUUGCGAAGGCAGCUCGUUACACGCAUAUUGACUCUGAGGCACGAAAGCGUGGGGAUCAAACAGGAUUAGAUACCCUAGUAGUCC